RNAcentral lists this ribosomal RNA (380 nucleotides) under uncultured bacterium. Its description in RNAcentral is "bacterial SSU rRNA". It matches the Rfam family "Bacterial small subunit ribosomal RNA", at positions 28 to 417 of the family's 1533-position model. The record is from RNAcentral.
GACAAACGCUGGCGGCGUACCUAAGACAUGCAAGUCGAACGGGGGCUCACCGCUUCGGCGGGGAGUCGAGUGGCGGACGGGUGAGUAACGCGUAGGGACCUGUCGAGCAGUGGGGGAUAACGCUGGGAAACCGGCGCUAAUACCGCAUGUGAUCGGGAGACCGAAGAAAGCAGCAAUGCGCUGUUUGAGGGGCCUGCGUCCGAUUAGCUUGUUGGUGGGGUAAGGGCCUACCAAGGCAUCGAUCGGUAGCUGGUCUGAGAGGAUGGUCAGCCACACUGGGACUGAGACACGGCCCAGACUCCUACGGGAGGCAGCAGUUAGGAAAUUUUUCCAAUGGGGGAAACCCUGAGAGAGUAACGCCGCGUGGAGGAUGACGGCCU